UACGUAGGGUGCGAGCGUUAAUCGGAAUUACUGGGCGUAAAGCGUGCGCAGGCGGUUUGCUAAGACCGAUGUGAAAUCCCCGGGCUCAACCUGGGAACUGCGGUUGAAACUGGCGAACUAGAAUCUGGCAGAGGGGGGUGGAAUUCCACGUGUAGCAGUGAAAUGCGUAGAGAUGUGGAGGAACACCGAUGGCGAAGGCAGCCCCCUGGGCUGAGAUUGACGCUCAGGCACGAAAGCGUGGGGAGCAAACAGG
This 253-nucleotide ribosomal RNA is filed under the name uncultured bacterium. RNAcentral describes it as "partial 16S ribosomal RNA". It matches the Rfam family "Bacterial small subunit ribosomal RNA", at positions 524 to 776 of the family's 1533-position model. The record is from RNAcentral.